This 1229-nucleotide long non-coding RNA is filed under the name Triticum aestivum (bread wheat). RNAcentral's name for it is "long non-coding RNA (TAES_LNC012619)". The stretch from base 609 to 732 matches the Rfam family "MIR1120/MIR1122 microRNA precursor family". Lineage: Eukaryota; Viridiplantae; Streptophyta; Magnoliopsida; Poales; Poaceae. The record is from RNAcentral.
GCGCAACUCUCAACAGCAGCAGCACGACAUAGAGAAACAAUUCCCAUCCUUCAUAAAAUAAAUCCAUAAGGGUGUCUUUCUUUUCUUCUAUGGAAAAAACAAAAAUAUGCAAAGAAAGCCGCCACGCACAUAUACUUCUGGAAACCAAUCCAUGGCGCAAGACGGCGUCAAUUUGUGUAACAAACACAUCUGGGAAGUGGGAACAACCUACAGCAAUCCUGAAGCAUCUUAGCAAGAUACAGACAGGCCUUGAGAGGGGUUCAGGCCUGAGUGACACCUACCGAGUUCAGAAAAUGAGCGAAAGCGCACUACGAGCAGGACCAGAGUGACACUGCAACAGCAACAUGCUUCGGCUGCAACCAAGCACGACACCCAGAAGUUUACAUACGAGUUCAUAUGAACAUGGGACACGGGCAUGAGCACGGAAGGCGAGAUCCUGGUCUGGUAUACAAAACGCAGCAACUUCCAGGUGCGAUCCGGGGACAUAGAGAGCGGAUAACGAAUGAUGAGGUAGACCAGAUGAUCUGGAAGCCUGCACAAGCAACACGGGACACACGAUGAGAACAUGGAAGAAAUGCAGGGGAUACUACAGGAGGAGAUUCACUUGGAUGGUACUCCCUCCGUUCGAAAAUACUUGUCAUCAAAAUGGAUAAAAAAAGAUGUAUAUAAAACUAAAAUAUUUCCCUUUUAUCCAUUUUGAGGACAAGUAUUUCCGGACGGAGAGAGUAUUGGAUUAGCAUGCUACUUUCAUCGCCAAAAAAAAAAACAUGCCACUUGAUCUAGUUAUUAGAAUGCUGGUAGUACUUUUUUUUUACAUGAAACUGAACACAAGGUUUAACUUGUUAAUUGACAAGUGGCGUCUUUGGACCAUUUACUCGAUAUUCAGACAAAAAAAAAAUAGCAACUCACUGAAACUGCCCAAUCAAAUUACAAUGAUGAAAUGGACGGACCCCUACACGAGUCUUCCUACCUUCGGCGCUGUCUGCAUUUAGCACACAUCCCCUACUCUGAUUAAUCAAGCAUUUGACUCCUACUUCAUACUUUCUGUUGCAUAAUUGUACGUGGAGCCAGGGGUGAAAUGCAUGGUGUCAUGGUGGGCCAAAGGGUGUAGAAACAGCGCAAGAAGGUCUAGUAUGGAAUGCUGCUUGGUAUGUACAAUGCCGACUAUCAAAGAUAUAAUCGUGAUCAAAGAAUGGUCUGGUUACUUACAUUCGAACAACAGAAGAGAG